This 475-nucleotide small RNA is filed under the name Pan troglodytes (chimpanzee). RNAcentral's name for it is "processed transcript". The record is from RNAcentral. Lineage: Eukaryota; Metazoa; Chordata; Mammalia; Primates; Hominidae.
GUUUUUAUUACGAUUAUAUCCCAACACGAAUAAUCAUUCCAGUACUGAAAUUUGGUUAUUCUUAGCUGUGUGAUUUGGGCAAGAAACUUAACUUUUCUGUGCCUCAGCUUCUUCAUCUAUAAACAGAAAAAUCAUAGUACAUCAUAGGGUUGUUGUAAGCAUUAAUUAAGUUAAAAUAGGGAAAGUGCUUAGAAGGGUUCCUGACAUACCUUAAUUUCCUGUGUUUUCUAAUGUACACACACACACACACACACACACACACACACACACACACACUAGAGUGAAUUCCAACUCAUUUCAUUUGAAUUCAGGCAUUGAGAUGAAGUUCAAGAAUAUGCUGUUUCCUAUGAUUGUCUGCCCAGCCUGGAUCCCUGAGCUGAAUUCGGUAGAACAUGGACCCGACGGUAUCUCCUUUGGAGCUGCUUGCCCCCUGAGCAUUGUGGAAAAAACCCUGGUGGAUGCUGUUGCUAAGCUU